This 3056-nucleotide long non-coding RNA is filed under the name Lathyrus oleraceus (garden pea). RNAcentral's name for it is "Pisum sativum (pea) long non-coding RNA (PSAT_LNC022422)". The record is from RNAcentral. Lineage: Eukaryota; Viridiplantae; Streptophyta; Magnoliopsida; Fabales; Fabaceae.
GAAGGCCAUCAACAUGUGGAACUGUGAUAGGAAAGAAGGUAAUAAGAUUUGGAUGAAGGUUGAGAUGAAGUAAAUUGUUGACUGUGUUUUUAGGAAUGAAGAAUGAGAUUUUGUGUCCCCUUUUGGCUAAUUUGUUGGAGAGGUGAAGAUAUGGGGUUAAGUGCCCCAUAGCAAACCAAGGAAACAUUGCUAUGUGCAAAGAAGAAGGUGAAUCCAUGGUUGAUUUGAUAUUGAAUGGAAUGAACCAGGGACACCUAUACAAAAUACAAACUUAUUAUAAACUGUUUUAGCAAUUUGAUGCAUAAUGUUCCAUAAAAAAUUUGAUAUAUAAUGAAAAUUUUGUUAGUUGCCUCCUCGAUCGGUGGAUCUGAGUAUUAUUGUAUUACUUUUUAUUAUGUUGAAUAAGAGACAUGUUGAUAUAAGACAGCUAUAUGAGUCUCACUCAUACUUAUCAAAUUUGUUAAUCAAACAAAUCCUGCCCCAAGAUUUUCUAGUUAUUUUAUGUCUAAUAUAUUGAUACCAUUUUGAUAUUCCACGAUUUUGGUCACCAUGUAUUUAAUUGUGUUCCUUUAAUAUUUUUCAAAUGCUAUGAUUUUGGCCUAUAUGUUAUUUUGAAUAACCUAAAAUUGUAUUGAUGCAUUAUGAAAAUUCUGUACAUAUGGAUCGCCAUAUGAGAAAGACAAAUAAUUCUACAAAACAUGACACAUUAUGCCUUAAGCAAUAUCUCAUAAUCAUAGUAGUUUCAUUUCAGGUUGUUCUACUACAAAUAAUAUCCUCACUCUACAAGAAACUAUUCACUCUAUAAUCCACAUGAACGGGACCAAGCUAUAUGAUUCUCAAAAUUGACCUUGAAAAAACUGGUGACCGAAUUGAAUAGAGUUUUGUCAUAGAAUCUCUUCAUCGUUUAGAAAUUCGUUACAAUAUCUCUUCAAUCUGUUGAAAUUCAUGCAUCAAUUUUUAAUGAAAUUGAGCAACUAUGACUGCUGAAAACUUAUGUCCUAGAUUUAAUCUUGAACCGAAAUCUAUCAUGCAUGUCAUUCGAGAUUGAGAACUUAUGUCCUAGAUUAACCUUGAGCAGAAAGCUAUCAUGCAUGUCGUUCGAGAUUGAUAUGAUGUAAAACCUUUUUGAGAUUUGGAGUAAGUUUUUCGGCUUAAGUACUCUUGCAUGGUUAGAAAAUCCAACAAAUUGGGCAGCAUUUUUUGGCCAUGAAACCCUAUUUUUAGAGUUACUGUUAAAAAAACUUAGUGAUAAUAUUGAAGCACGAAAGUUAGUUUGCUCAAUGAGAAGAGAAUAUGCAGAAUUUGAGUUGCCUAUAAACUGUUUGCUUAUUGUCUGACUUAAGUUUGUUAAGACAGCUACGGAUUAAACAUAGAACCAAGUUGAAUUUCUCCGAAUUCAACUAAACCCUGAAAUUGUUUUUCUUUUUUUAAAUUUUUUAUUUCAUCUUUUGGCUCAAAUACUUUCAAUACUUCAUUCUUAGUCUAGCUACAUCUCUAUGAAGCAUAAUACCCACCAAAAGCCUUAAAACUAAUUUUUGAAUUGAAUUGAAACUGAUAGAUCAUUCCUAUUUAUAAGCAAACUGAAACAGCAAGAUUCAUUAUUAUUGUAAAUGAGAAUCCUAGAGCAAAUCAUAAAGUUUUUGACAAAAACUAUCAACACAUGAUGAUUCUAAGUUGUUGCUAAUGAGGAAGUUUCUCAUUUUGUCAUGAUUUGCUCUCACUUCUCUUCCAACCUCAUUCUCAUUAUCCAUCACAAUCUUCACUGCUUUGCACACACUUUCUUUUGUAAACAACCCAUCUUCUUCACCUUUCUCGACUUCCACACCAACCUUGAACUUUGUACUCAUCACUCUUGCAUUCAUUAUAUGAUCAACACCUACAAGUGGCAACAAAACCAACUGGCACGUGUUAACAAGUCCCUCGGUUAUAGAAGCAGCUCCACAGUGUGUUAUGAAACAUCCAACAGAAGGGUGUUCCAAAAUCAAUUGUUGUUGAAUCCAACUUCCAUAAACAAUCCCUUUUCCUUUAACUCUUUCAUUGAAUCCUUCAGGCAAGGCUUCCUCAAUAGAGUCAAAUCCAUUAGGUGGCUUAAGUGCUGCAAGAAAUUUCAUUGAAUCCUUCAGGCAAGGCUUCCUCAAUAGAGUCAAAUCCAUUAGGUGGCUUAAGUGCUGCAAGAAAUGGAAAACCUGUUAACUCAAGACCAAGCAACAACUCUUGAAACUGAUUUUGUUCCAAUGGACCUUCACUUCCAUAUGCACAAAAAACCACAGAACCAUGUUUGAAUCCCUUAAGCCAUGCGGCCCAUUUUUGAUCUAAAGUAGUAUUUGGUGGGUCAGGUGAUAGAGGACCUGAAAGAAGAACAGGUUUACCAAAAACAGUUUGAAGAUAAUCAGUAUAUAAACCAUCGAUUUCUCUGCAACCUUUGAAAGCAACCGCAUCUGAAAACUCUGUGCCUAUGUCUACGCGAUCGUAUAUUAAAACACCGCUGCCAAAUUCUAUCCUCCUUGCUGAAACUAGGAAUUGAAGUUCGUGUGAAUGAAACUUGAUACAUGAAUCAGGGAACUCUGAAGGUGGUUUCAUGAGAUCAACUUCAGUUAACUCUUUUCCUCGACUUUUUCUCGUUAUAUUUCCAAGGUAAGCGGUUGAUAUUGGAUUCCAUAUCAAAUAUUGAAGACUUUUGAUACCAAGUUUUUGAGUCAAAUUUGGUAGCCAAUAUUGAAAAUCAAAGAAAACAAUAUGUGGUUUUAGUUCCUUUAGAAGAAGUUCAAUUUGUUCCUCAGUUUGGUCCAUGGCAGUAGCAAUAAGAGGGAAUAAAGAAACGGAAACAUCUGAAGUAGUUUCAGCAUUAUGAGGAAGGCCAUCAACAUGAGGAACUGUGAUAGGGAAAAAGGUAAUAAGAUUUGGAUAAAGGUUCAGAUGAAGUAACUUGUUGACUGUGUUUUUAGGAAUGAAGAAUGAGAUUUUGUGACCUUUAGUUGCUAAUUUGUUGGAGAGGCGGAGAUAUGGAGUUAAGUGUCCCAUAGCAAACCAUGGAAACAUUGCUAUGUGCAAAGGAG